This 295-nucleotide long non-coding RNA is filed under the name Brassica napus (rape). RNAcentral describes it as "long non-coding RNA (BNAP_LNC019243)". The record is from RNAcentral. Lineage: Eukaryota; Viridiplantae; Streptophyta; Magnoliopsida; Brassicales; Brassicaceae.
AAAGAUCAGAGAGAAAAGCUUGAAUGAAGAAGAUAACUUUAACUUUACUUUUGUUAUUCAACUUGAUCCAACGUUACAUCAUCGUUUCCUAUUUAUAUACAAGAUAGAUCUUAUCCUCUUAGUUUGUCAGCAUGUGACAGCACAUGAGGUAAGGCAUUCAAAUCUGUUGGAUGUACCGAUGAUGUGAGCUGGAGCCGUCGUACAUCGAGAGCUCCUUUGAACGUUGAAUGUUGACGACUUUACCGUUGGUGCUAAAGUAAUGGGCUUCACCUUUGCUUCUUCAUGCUGGGCUAUC